UGCUGAUGCUCUAAGAGUCUGAUACAGGGCAAGCUUGCAUAUCUCUGCUGAUGCUCUAAGAGUCUGAUACAGGGCAAGCUUGCAUAUCUCUGCUGAUGCUCUAAGAGUCUGAUACAGGGCAAGCUUGCAUAUCUCUGCUGAUGCUCUCAGAGUCUGACACAGGGCAAGCUUGCACAUCUCUGCUGAUGCUCUAAGAGUCUGAUACAGGGCAAGCUUGCACAUCUCUGCUGAUGCUCUCAGAGU
This 243-nucleotide long non-coding RNA is filed under the name Sarcophilus harrisii (Tasmanian devil). RNAcentral describes it as "lncRNA (ENSSHAG00000000294.2)". Lineage: Eukaryota; Metazoa; Chordata; Mammalia; Dasyuromorphia; Dasyuridae. The record is from RNAcentral.